CUUUGAGAUAUAGGAAUAAAUUGAUCCUUUUGAAUUCAGAAUGAAUUUGAGACAGCCAAUUUACUGAUUGUUUAACCCAGUGCGAAAAAUUAUUGGAAACAGAUCUAAUAUUUGGGGAUUUUGACCACAUCCUCAAUCACUGCGCGCAGCAUCUGAAACAACACAAUAAAUUUUUUUGUUUACAUUACGUACGAACAGCAGUGCGAAGGUGGUUUGAUAACUGAGGAAUUAACAAGGAAUUUUAUCUUGCCUUUUGUGAAGUGUGUGGAUAAAUUUCAAUAGUUAUUAUAACUGCGGGAAAUAUUGCGUUGCUUCAUUGGUGUUGAGUGGGAAUUGUUUAGUUGUGUUUUUGCAGAGAACAGGAAAGAAGGGUUCGCAUCUUGCUGUAAAAUAUCACUCUCGGAGAGCGAAAAAUAUCAAAGUAUUGUUGAUAGCUGUGUUGCUUUUGCUUCUUGGUUCUUGG
Non-coding RNA from Paramuricea clavata, 463 nucleotides. Lineage: Eukaryota; Metazoa; Cnidaria; Anthozoa; Malacalcyonacea; Plexauridae. The record is from the annotation of a GenBank genome assembly.